GAUGAACGCUGACAGAAUGCUUAACACAUGCAAGUCUUUGGCGAAGCUGUGCUUGCACAGCCUAGCCAAGGCGGACGGGUGAGUAACGCGUAAGGAACUUGCCCUGCAGUCAGGGAUAACAGACGGAAACGACUGAUAAGACCUGGUAAAGUCAGGCGGACUCAUGUCCAGCCUGAUGAAAAGAGAUGCUGCAGGAGAGCCUUGCGUCCUAUUAGCUUGUUGGUGGGGUAACGGCCCACCAAGGCGAUGAUAGGUAGCCGGCCUGAGAGGGUGGACGGCCACAAGGGGACUGAGAUACGGCCCUUACUCCUACGGGAGGCAGCAGUGGGGAAUAUUGGACAAUGGGGGCAACCCUGAUCCAGCAAUUCUGUGUGCACGAUGAAGGUUUUCGGAUUGUAAAGUGCUUUCAGCAGGGAAGAAAA
RNAcentral lists this ribosomal RNA (422 nucleotides) under Leptotrichia sp. oral taxon 462. RNAcentral describes it as "bacterial SSU rRNA". It matches the Rfam family "Bacterial small subunit ribosomal RNA", at positions 28 to 451 of the family's 1533-position model. The record is from RNAcentral. Lineage: Bacteria; Fusobacteriati; Fusobacteriota; Fusobacteriia; Fusobacteriales; Leptotrichiaceae.